UACAGAGGUCUCAAGCGUUGUUCGGAUUCAUUGGGCGUAAAGGGUGCGUAGGUGGCGAGGUAAGUUGGAUGUGAAAUCCCGGGGCUCAACCCCGGAACUGCAUUCAAUACUGCCUUGCUGGAGUACUGGAGAGGAGAUUGGAAUUUACGGUGUAGCAGUGAAAUGCGUAGAUAUCGUAAGGAAGACCAGUGGCGAAGGCGGAUCUCUGGACAGUUACUGACACUGAGGCACGAAGGCCAGGGGAGCAAACAGG
RNAcentral lists this ribosomal RNA (253 nucleotides) under uncultured bacterium. Its description in RNAcentral is "partial 16S ribosomal RNA". It matches the Rfam family "Bacterial small subunit ribosomal RNA", at positions 524 to 776 of the family's 1533-position model. The record is from RNAcentral.